Molecule: ribosomal RNA, 329 nt
Filed under: Litomosa chiropterorum
Lineage: Eukaryota; Metazoa; Nematoda; Chromadorea; Rhabditida; Onchocercidae
Description: partial 12S ribosomal RNA
Source: RNAcentral
AAAAUGUUUUAGUUUGUUAUUUUUUGUUAAAGAUAUUUAAAAUUUGAUUUUUGAACUGGAUUAGUACCCAGGUAAUCAAAAUUUAUUAAUUCGGGAGUAAAGUUUUGUUUAAACCGAAAAAAUAUUGACUGACUUUAGAUUUUUCUUUGGAACAUGUGUUUGUGGAUAGUCCUCCUUUUUUGUCUAUUUUAUUUGCCCAUGUAUGAUUGUUUAGUUUUUACAUUUUUUGUGAUGCUCUAUCAUUUGUUGUUAUAAAACAGAUAUAUAUUUGGUUUAUAAAUUGAUUUUUCAUGUGUUACUAUUAUUAAUUUUUUUUUGGAUUAUUAUUU